Molecule: non-coding RNA, 45 nt
Organism: Echinostoma caproni
Lineage: Eukaryota; Metazoa; Platyhelminthes; Trematoda; Plagiorchiida; Echinostomatidae
Source: Rfam
GCACAACUAAGGAGUCCCAAACAGGACUAAACAGCUGUCCCGUGC